RNAcentral lists this signal recognition particle RNA (249 nucleotides) under Pseudomonadota bacterium. RNAcentral's name for it is "signal recognition particle sRNA large type". It matches the Rfam family "Bacterial large signal recognition particle RNA". From Rfam's summary of the family: The signal recognition particle (SRP) is a universally conserved ribonucleoprotein involved in the co-translational targeting of proteins to membranes. Archaeal SRP consists of a 7S RNA and homologues of the eukaryotic SRP19 and SRP54 proteins. Lineage: Bacteria; Pseudomonadati; Pseudomonadota. The record is from RNAcentral.
UUGUGCUAGGCGGGGAGUUAGCGGUGCCCUUUUCCCGAAAUCCGCUCUAUGCGGGGCUGAAUUCCCUCUGGAGGGUUUUUACCUGGAAUUCUGUUUGCCAUUUUGACCGGCCGCCGCGCAACAGGCGGUUACGAACCUCGUCAGGUCCGGGAGGAAGCAGCGAUAAGUAAAUCAGCCUGUGUCGCGGAUCGAUUCCGGUCAUACAUGUGGCGGAUGUAUUUCAGAAAAAACUCGAUAGGGGGUGCACAA